ACGCUGGCGGCGUGCCUAAUACAUGCAAGUAGAACGCUGAAGGAGGAGCUUGCUUCUCCGGAUGAGUUGCGAACGGGUGAGUAACGCGUAGGUAACCUGCCUGGUAGCGGGGGAUAACUAUUGGAAACGAUAGCUAAUACCGCAUAAGAGUAGGUGUUGCAUGACAUUUGCUUAAAAGGUGCAAUCGCAUCACUACCAGAUGGACCUGCGUUGUAUUAGCUAGUUGGUGGGGUAACGGCUCACCAAGGCGACGAUACAUAGCCGACCUGAGAGGGUGAUCGGCCACACUGGGACUGAGACGCGGCCCAGACUCCUACGGGAGGCAGCAGUAGGGAAUCUUCGGCAAUGGACGGAAGUCUGACCGAGCAACGCCGCGUGAGUGAAGAAGGUUUUCGGAUCGUAAAGCUCUGUUGUAAGAGAAGAACGAGUGUGAGAGUGGAAAGUUCACACUGUGACGGUAUCUUACCAGAAAGGGACGGCUAACUACGUGCCAGCAGCCGCGGUAAUACGUAGGUCCCGAGCGUUGUCCGGAUUUAUUGGGCGUAAAGCGAGCGCAGGCGGUUAGAUAAGUCUGAAGUUAAAGGCUGUGGCUUAACCAUAGUACGCUUUGGAAACUGUUUAACUUGAGUGCAAGAGGGGAGAGUGGAAUUCCAUGUGUAGCGGUGAAAUGCGUAGAUAUAUGGAGGAACACCGGUGGCGAAAGCGGCUCUCUGGCUUGUAACUGACGCUGAGGCUCGAAAGCGUGGGGAGCAAACAGGAUUAGAUACCCUGGUAGUCCACGCCGUAAACGAUGAGUGCUAGGUGUUAGACCCUUUCCGGGGUUUAGUGCCGCAGCUAACGCAUUAAGCACUCCGCCUGGGGAGUACGACCGCAAGGUUGAAACUCAAAGGAAUUGACGGGGGCCCGCACAAGCGGUGG
RNAcentral lists this ribosomal RNA (918 nucleotides) under uncultured bacterium. Its description in RNAcentral is "bacterial SSU rRNA". It matches the Rfam family "Bacterial small subunit ribosomal RNA", at positions 33 to 935 of the family's 1533-position model. The record is from RNAcentral.